AAAAAAUAAAUUACGAAGGAUUUUACAAAAUUAUCCUUCAUUAAUGGUAUUGGAAAGACAAAUUAACAUAAUUGAAAUGAGAGAGAAUAAUAAAUAUUUAAGGAUAUAAGAGGAAAAAUAACAUUAAUAAUUCAUUGAUAUUAUAAAACGACUUAUAUUGUGGUACAAAAUAUUUUUACAAAGUGACAUAUAAUAAAAAACGGAGGUAGUAUAAAAGAGUGGGGGAAUAUUCAUGGCCGACCGAAUUCCUCCUUUCUAAAAUAAAUGUUAAAUAAUAAUUUUGAGAUUUAAUUGAUAUACAUCGAUAAUGUAAAAAGAUUUUAAACUAUCAAUUAAUCAUAUCCGUUGGAUAUUAAAAUAAGUUUGAAAUUUAUUUUAAAAAUUUAUAAAGUAAUACAAAUAGGUGAUGGUGAUGAAUCGAU
Molecule: long non-coding RNA, 422 nt
Filed under: Lathyrus oleraceus (garden pea)
Lineage: Eukaryota; Viridiplantae; Streptophyta; Magnoliopsida; Fabales; Fabaceae
Description: Pisum sativum (pea) long non-coding RNA (PSAT_LNC025924)
Source: RNAcentral